Molecule: long non-coding RNA, 1457 nt
Filed under: Homo sapiens (human)
Lineage: Eukaryota; Metazoa; Chordata; Mammalia; Primates; Hominidae
Description: long intergenic non-protein coding RNA 1091
Source: RNAcentral
GGGGAAUGGGAGCAUUUCUAAAUGACUUGAAGCUCUGUCACGGCAUAAUCUCUUAUAAAUAAAUGUCAGUGUAGUCACUGAAUGCAGACUGGAUUUUUGCCUGACUACGGUGCUCAGCCUUCUAGACAAUAGUUAUGCUAAGGGAUUAUCUUUUAACAUUGUGCAGUUAUCUCCUUUGUUUGUUUUCUUUUUUCAUUAUUCACAUAAGCCAAGGGAAAUGAAAAGCAUCUUAUUUCAGGCAAAAAGGCCUGUGAAUGAUUAACUCUGGUUCCAUGCGUUGGGACUUUGCAUAGCAACCCCGUGGCUUGCAACGACAAAAAAGCUCAAGGCAGGAACAGCAGCCCAGGGACCUGAGACCAGCGUUCUCAAAUGAAGGUGCCAGAUCUGCUGUUAGAGGAGAAUUCUUCUGUCCUAGCUGUGUCUCUGUGAUCUGUGGAUGAGGGUGGGAAAGCACCACUCAGUCAAUUGGGGUGUACAAAAUGGAGUUUGAGAAGGUCUCACAUCCAGGUUGUUUUGAAGCAAAGUCCAAGCAUUGUAUCACUUCAUCUGCAAAUAUUUCAAUAAGUACCCAAAAGGUCCAGAUUGACUGCAAGAACAAAUCAGCAAUCCUGAGAGGACCCACAGGCCCUCUGAAGGAAGCAGACUACUCCUGCAGGACCUGGGAGAUACCCUGAAUACUUGGUUGGACUGAGUCCCAUGAAGCCAGAUCACUUCUGACUGCAAGGAGCUUGGAAAAGCAAGUAUCUGGAUCUUUUACCAGCUAAAUUUGGAGCGAUGAGGCUUCCUCUUUGAAGAUCACAGGUGAGAAGAUUAGGUGCUUUCUCAGAAGCCCAGCAACCUGAUGGGAGUGUGGAGUGAGCAAGACCCAAAUCGGAGCUUCAUCCCUGCAUGGUUCAUUUUGCUUAUUUGGCAAACUUGCCCUGCAGAAUCUACUCAAGCUUCCUCAGUUUCUCAAAUCAUUCUUGGGCAACAAAUGAACAAGAAAGAGGACGUCUUAUUAUCUGGUGUCUGGCUUGCUGAUUUAAUAACCUAGGAGACAGUGUUUGAAGAACACAAACUCUAAAGUCCUUCACUUAAAAAAAAAAAAAAACUUUCCCAAAUUGCUUACCAUUUGGAAAAAUUGCCUUACCUUCUUCAGUCAUCUCUGAUGUUGUCAUCCUCAGAGUAAGAAGUACGCAUUCAUAAGGAACCAUAACGUCCUUCAGGAAAUCCAGUACACCCUACAAUUUUACCUAAAACUUUGAUGUUGUUUUUUCUGAGCAUUUUACCUUCUAGGGAAAUGGAUCUCAUGCUGUUUAUCAGUUUCUGAAAGUUGUUAUUAAUCUCCCCUCAUCCCAAAAUUGAAGAACUUUGCUUAAAUCUUAGAAUCAGAACUUUGGCUCCAGUAAUAAAGACUUUUCAAUAUCUUUAUCUGCCAUUGAGUCUUACCUAACGAAAUAAAGCCUCCAAAGUGGGAA